ACUGCCGGCCGCAUGGUCUGGUGGUGGAAAGAUUUUUUGGUUGGGGAUGGACUCGCGGCCUAUCAGCUUGUUGGUGAGGUAAUGGCUCACCAAGGCGACGACGGGUAGCCGGCCUGAGAGGGGUGACCGGCCACACUGGGACUGAGACACGGCCCAGACUCCUACGGGAGGCAGCAGUGGGGAAUAUUGCACAAUGGGCGAAAGCCUGAUGCAGCAACGCCGCGUGAGGGAUGACGGCCUUCGGGUUGUAAACCUCUUUUAGUAGGGAAGAAGCGUAAGUGACGGUACCUGCAGAAAAAGCACCGGCUAACUACGUGCCAGCAGCCGCGGUAAUACGUAGGGUGCAAGCGUUGUCCGGAAUUAUUGGGCGUAAAGAGCUCGUAGGCGGUUUGUCGCGUCUGCUGUGAAAUCCCGAGGCUCAACCUCGGGCUUGCAGUGGGUACGGGCAGACUAGAGUGCGGUAGGGGAGAUUGGAAUUCCUGGUGUAGCGGUGGAAUGCGCAGAUAUCAGGAGGAACACCGAUGGCGAAGGCAGAUCUCUGGGCCGUAACUGACGCUGAGGAGCGAAAGCGUGGGGAGCGAACAGGAU
This 588-nucleotide ribosomal RNA is filed under the name Curtobacterium sp. Pd-E-(s)-m-D-4(12). RNAcentral describes it as "bacterial SSU rRNA". It matches the Rfam family "Bacterial small subunit ribosomal RNA", at positions 173 to 778 of the family's 1533-position model. The record is from RNAcentral. Lineage: Bacteria; Bacillati; Actinomycetota; Actinomycetes; Micrococcales; Microbacteriaceae. RNAcentral also lists the same sequence under 1 other name.